This is a long non-coding RNA of Haliotis rufescens (red abalone), 261 nucleotides long. RefSeq lists it as uncharacterized. The record is from RefSeq and is a predicted model, not a curated record. NCBI's taxonomy places the organism in Eukaryota, Metazoa, Mollusca, Gastropoda, Lepetellida, Haliotidae. The transcript is spliced from 2 exons.
GCCUUCCCCCCAUCCAUUGCUCCAUCAGUGUCAGCCUCCCCAGCACCAGGAGUUUCUCUGCCCAGUUACAAAUGCGAGCAUGCAACCGGUGAAUAUGAACAGUGCAAGACAGGGCAGGGUCCAUCUCAGUAAGACAAUGACAACACCGGCAGGGAUCCCUAUAGGCUGACCGUCAAUCUGUGGUUUAUCCACGCGAGUUGUCUGUAACAACAACGCUGCCUCAUCUGUAGUAUGUAGACCUAUUACAAAGUCAUAUGGCCA